UCUCCCCAUUUACAGCAGUAAGACAGCCUAACCUGGGAAAGAGAGAGGGAAGCUACUUCCAAAUGGAUGCCUGUCCCCAUCAGUAAUAACCAAGUCUAUUCAAGUGCCAGAUGUUAACUUUAAAAGAAGGGAACAUCAAAAGUCCAACUUUCUUCGCCUAGCUUUGUCAGGAAUGUUUUUACCCUCAAUCUAAAACUAAUGGAAAGAUGGAAUAAAAUCUAAAGAAAUGUCCUUAACAGCAUAGUCACAAAGAGCUCUACCCUACCAAGCCACUCUGCAAGUCCCACUCUCAAAGGAAG
Homo sapiens (human) is the source of this 299-nucleotide long non-coding RNA. RefSeq lists it as uncharacterized. The transcript is spliced from 3 exons. The record is from RefSeq and is a predicted model, not a curated record. Lineage: Eukaryota; Metazoa; Chordata; Mammalia; Primates; Hominidae.